This 253-nucleotide ribosomal RNA is filed under the name uncultured bacterium. RNAcentral describes it as "partial 16S ribosomal RNA". It matches the Rfam family "Bacterial small subunit ribosomal RNA", at positions 524 to 776 of the family's 1533-position model. The record is from RNAcentral.
UACGGAGGGUGCGAGCGUUAAUCGGAAUUACUGGGCGUAAAGCGCACGCAGGCGGUUUGUUAAGCUAGAUGUGAAAGCCCCGGGCUCAACCUGGGAUGGUCAUUUAGAACUGGCAGACUAGAGUCUUGGAGAGGGGAGUGGAAUUCCAGGUGUAGCGGUGAAAUGCGUAGAUGUCUGGAGGAACAUCAGUGGCGAAGGCGACUCCCUGGCCAAAGACUGACGCUCAUGUGCGAAAGUGUGGGUAGCGAACAGG